RNAcentral lists this small RNA (28 nucleotides) under Bombyx mori (domestic silkworm). Its description in RNAcentral is "ovarian small RNA-31710". Lineage: Eukaryota; Metazoa; Arthropoda; Insecta; Lepidoptera; Bombycidae. The record is from RNAcentral.
UGACGACGUUGUUAAGACGAACCCUAGC